AUUGAACGCUGGCGGCAUGCCUUACACAUGCAAGUCGAACGGCAGCACGGGAGCAAUCCUGGUGGCGAGUGGCGAACGGGUGAGUAAUAUAUCGGAACGUGCCCGGUCGUGGGGAUAACGUAGCGAAAGCUACGCUAAUACCGCAUACGAUCUACGGAUGAAAGCGGGGGAUCGCAAGACCUCGCGCGAUUGGAGCGGCCGAUAUCAGAUUAGGUAGUUGGUGAGGUAAAGGCUCACCAAGCCGACGAUCUGUAGCUGGUCUGAGAGGACGACCAGCCACACUGGGACUGAGACACGGCCCAGACUCCUACGGGAGGCAGCAGUGGGGAAUUUUGGACAAUGGGCGCAAGCCUGAUCCAGCAAUGCCGCGUGCAGGAUGAAGGCCUUCGGUUGUAACUAGCUUUGUUACGGU
RNAcentral lists this ribosomal RNA (412 nucleotides) under uncultured bacterium. RNAcentral's name for it is "bacterial SSU rRNA". It matches the Rfam family "Bacterial small subunit ribosomal RNA", at positions 30 to 444 of the family's 1533-position model. The record is from RNAcentral.